CAUUGCUGAGAUGAGUGAGGAUUGUUUCAGAAAAUCAGGCCUCCUCCUGGGGAAUGUGCCUCAGCUUCUGAAUACCAUCAGAGCUCCUCUGGAACAUGUCCUUGUCUUCUCAGAGUGUGAAGUGUGUGUGUGACAGUGCUUUUCUGAGGACUCAGGUGACCUGGAGGCUGGAGAACAGCAUGGAGCAAGGAAAACAAAGACGAUGUGCUGGAGUGUAUGUUGCUUUCAUAAUUAUGUGAAAGAAAAUGUAGAGAAAUUUGAAAGGUAAGAUCUGACCACUUUGACCCCCUCUCCUCACACCAGCCUAUGCCCCACUUUCUUGAAGACCCACUCCCCAGCUUAGCAGCCAGGUACCCAUCACAGCCUGGCUUCAAGAAGGGAGCCCAGUCCGCCAGGUUUGUUCUCUCUCCUUCGGUCUGUCUCUGUUGGCCAGUCUGUCCAGGAGUUACUCUGUCCAUGGGUCAGUCUCUCCUUCUUUCUGACUGUCUUCCUAUCAUUCUUUCUUAGUUGUUCCCUCUCACCUUAAGGGCUGCCUAAUUUCUCUCUCAUCAUGUCUUUACUUCUCUCCUAGCCUCAUUUCCAGUUUUGGCUUCCUCAUAACUAAAGUGUGCUGUGGCCCCAACAUGGCAUCCUGACUUCUUUUCAGAGUCUGCCUCCAAGCUUCUGGCUGGUCUUGCCACAUACUCCAAUUCAUAUCCCUUCACAUUACAUCAAGCUGGCUCAGUCUGUCUCUUCUCCUCUGGCCAGACAAUGGCAGAUCACCUUGGUCAAGCAUGUCCUCUGGACCAAUUGCCCCAGACCAGGAUUAUUUAAAUACAACUCGUCCAUCUGCAGUUGUCCUUAAAAUCUGAUUUAUAGAAGGUCUGUGUGGGCUUGGCAUUUCUGGUGUCCACUCAUUCUGUCUAGUGAAUUGUCCUUCUUCCAUGACGCCAGUGGUGAUAGAUCUCACCCUCCUCUGAUCCCUGGGCCUGUUGGUUGUGGAGUUUAUGGGCCACUUCUGCAACUCGAUGGCCUUGGGCCAUGGAAAGGCCUGUCACCCCUUUUCUGGCACUAGAAUGGAAGCUUCAGUAGGGCAGGAACCCUAUUUAGGCAUUUCAGUUAGGCUUGGCACACUGUCUUGCAUGGAGAAAGCUCAGAAUAAGAGAGAGAUCCUAAAGUAUCUUCAACAGAACUAAUCUGACAAAUUUCCAAGGCUCCUUUGGGAGAUAAAAUCUACUUGGGGGAAUGGGAAAAGGAUGUCUACAUAGAUUUAGAAUAACGACCACCACCACCAUCAUCAUCCUUGACAGAACCUUUAUGCCAGGUGCUGUUCUAAAGCACUUUACAUACUUUAUCUCAUUUAAUCCUAACAACAGCCCUGUAAGGUGACUGUUACUAUGCCCUUUUUACCUUUAAUGAAGAAACAGCCUCAGGGAGAUUAAGAAAUUCACCCAAGGUCACAGAGCUAGAAGGUGAAAGAGCUGGAUUUCCAACCCAAGUGUGCCUGAUGUCAACUCUGAUCUAAGAUGUGGAUGCACAUGGGCAGAAUGAUGACGUGCUCUUCCCAACCUCUCAUUUAGCCAGCAUGUGAGAGGGCAAGGUGUCUUCAGCAACCAUUUCAUUUGUAAACAUACGUGUUUUUAUCCUUGGUCUACGCAAUAGUAUUACCACACAGGUAAUACCAGUGGGUGCUGGGUGUUUUUUUUUUUUUCCUCUUCUACAUAUUCCCUCCAAAAUAAAUUAUUAAUUGCCCCUCUUCUAAAUCUUACGUCACAGUCUUUAAUGCCUGCAUCUGAAUUGCUGUUAAAACAUCUCUUGGAGUCGUUCCCUGUGAUAUUACAGUCCGGGUUCCUGCGGCGUAAUCCCACUUGCUGGUUUUUCCCUUUGCAUUGCAUUUGGGUGAUGAAUGGCCCUUUGAUGUUCCUGGCAUCUGCCUUCCUGCCUCAGAAACUCACUGCUGGGUCCUCUUUUCCCUGCUAAUGGCCCUGUUUGCCUUCCACGACAGUUGAGACUCAGAAACACUUGCACCCACGGCACCUUUGGACAUUGCAGUUUGCCUCUGUUUCACUGCCCUUUCUUCUAUUUUUCUUUACUCUGCCUCUUCUGUUCUUUGCUCUGGCCUGCUCCUGUUCCCUGGCAGCUCCAGCCAUGCAGCAAACAGUCACCAGUCUUCACUUUAUCCUCAGAACUGGUGACACAGCACCUACUCUCCUUAUCUCUGUAGAGGCUUCCUCCAAAAUUUCUAUUACUUAACCCUUUCUCCUAGACUCUUCCUUGCCACUCAUCAUGGCUGAGGCCCUGCUCAGAUCUGUUUCCCUCAGUUCUUUGGGAAAGCAGCUGUCUGACAUUGAUGUGCAUUUGUUUAGCCUUUUCUAUGUGUCAAGCAUAGGUUUGUAUAGUCAUAGAGGUGGAUAACGUAGUCUUAGGUGCUUUUCUUCUUUUUUUAUAGACUGCAUCUUGCUCUGUCACCCAGACUGGACUGCAGUGGCACAAUCACAGCUACCUGUAACCUCAAACUCCUGGGCUCACGCAAUCCUCCCACCUCAGCCUCUGGAGUAGCUGGGACUACAGGUUUGUGCCACUAAGCCUGGCUAAUUUUUUAAAUUUUUUGUAGAGAUGGGGUUCUCGCUAUGUUGCCCAGGCUUUUUUUUUUUUUUUUUUUUUUUUGAGACAGAGUCUUGCUCUGUCACCCAGGCUGGAGUGCAAUGGCACGAUCUCAGCUCACUGCAACCUCCACCUCCUGGGUUCAAGCAAUUCUACUGCCUCAGCCUCCUGAGUAGCUGGGACUACAGGCAUGCAACACCAUGCCCAGCUGAUUUUUUUAUAUUUUUAGUAGAGAGGGGGUUUCACCAUGUUGGUCAGGCUGGUCUCGAACUCCUGACCUCAAAUGAUCGCCUGCCUCGGCUUCCCAAAGUGCUGGGAUUACAGGCUUAAGCCACCGUGCCUGGCCUGCCCAGGCUUUUUAAAAAAUAGACUUUAUUUUUUAAGUCUUUGGUCCACAUAACCACAGCCUCCCCUACUAUCAACAUCCCACACCAGAGCAGUACAUUUGACAUAUUCGAUGCACCUAACUUGACACAUCAUUAUCACUCAAAGUCCACAGCUUACUCUAGGGCUCGUUCUUGGUAUUGUGCAUUCUGUGGGUUUUGACAAAUGUAUAAUGACAUGCGUCCACCAUUGUAGUAUCAUCAGGAGCAGUGUCAUGGCCCUAUACAUCCUUCAUGUCUUAGGGAUUUUUAAAGCCUAGUAAAAGACAUCGGAAAA
This 3243-nucleotide long non-coding RNA is filed under the name Pan troglodytes (chimpanzee). Its description in RNAcentral is "lincRNA". Lineage: Eukaryota; Metazoa; Chordata; Mammalia; Primates; Hominidae. The record is from RNAcentral.